Non-coding RNA from Phrynosoma platyrhinos (Desert horned lizard), 72 nucleotides. NCBI's taxonomy places the organism in Eukaryota, Metazoa, Chordata, Lepidosauria, Squamata, Phrynosomatidae. The record is from the annotation of a GenBank genome assembly.
GGCAGGGUUGCAUAGUGGUUGGAGUGUUGGACUAUGACUCUGGAGACCAGGGCUGGAGUCCCAGCUCGGCCA